UUUGUUUCUUGUUUUACAAAG
Molecule: non-coding RNA, 21 nt
Filed under: Caenorhabditis elegans
Lineage: Eukaryota; Metazoa; Nematoda; Chromadorea; Rhabditida; Rhabditidae
Source: RNAcentral